This is a long non-coding RNA of Haplochromis burtoni (Burton's mouthbrooder), 2585 nucleotides long. RefSeq lists it as uncharacterized. The record is from RefSeq and is a predicted model, not a curated record. NCBI's taxonomy places the organism in Eukaryota, Metazoa, Chordata, Actinopteri, Cichliformes, Cichlidae. The transcript is spliced from 4 exons.
CAAACCCCAUAGGUGUUAGGUCUUACCUCCAUUAAUUACACUUGUGGAAUUAAACCUGUGCGCUGCCUUUGGAGCAUUCUUCGUUGAGUUACCUGACAAAUAAUACGGCCUGCAGCACUCAUGGUUCAAGAGGUCUUUGCUUUAGUUUUGCCUGGAGCCUCACAUCAAACCUUCCCGUCCCUCCAUCCCCAGCCUCUCUUUCUCCAUCACCGCCUUUUCCUUCCCUGCCUCCACUCUCUCAUCCUCCUCCACCUCCACUAGUCUUGGCUGGGCCACUCCUCCCCCCAUGCCUUGAGUGAAGCUGUGAAACCAGGUCAUGCUAGCGAAGACUGCUGUGGGCUGUGUACAGUAACGAGGGAGGGCUGAGACUCCCACUCCUGGUCAGGACAGAGCAGCAGGUUUUCAGGCUCCUGGGCGAGCACGGCUCGUGAGCGGACCUGAACCGAGGCAAAGUCGACGCCGGCCUCUUUGGCGCAGAUGUUGACGCACGAGCUCCAGUCUGACCACUCCAUCAGCACAAUAUGAAGACUGCCGCUUCACAAAAUGAAGAGCACUGCUGUGGACAUGGGAGGGACAGUAAACUGUUGAACCUGCAGACCUGAUGGACAGAUGGAGUCCAGCAGCUGCUGGGCAGAGCACACCUGUCUGCUAUGCUCCACAUUGCAAAGCUACAUCAAACCCAGCAUCUGACAAGCCUCCAUCACCAAACCUGAAAACAACUCAUCAGAUGCAAGCUUUUGAAGUGAUAAUCCCAUCUGUGAGAUUUUUUUUGCUACAGUGAGGGGUGACAUCUUUGGCCCUAAGCUGACAUUCUGCUGUUUUUGCGCUGCGGUGCCGAGACAUCAGCUGUCAGUCAAAGAGUGGUCAACAGGCUCCUGUGAAGGCUUUUCUCCUCAGAGGUCAAAAUAUCCAGCAACACGCGCUUUAUAUAGAACGGUUUUAUUGAUCAAAAAAUACGUUUCAGCUCGUAACCUUCACAAAAAUAUUACAGAAAACUAUUUAAAAGGUAGAAAAACUAUAAGAAACCCGCCCCCUUUUUAAAAUUUUAUUGGUAUACAGAAUUUUUUUUUUAACUGUAAUGACAGACAUAACUGCUUGAAGAUGUAGAGACAGAUUUGGUUACAUCUCAAUCCUCAUGCUCAAAUUAGAAACAAUAACCAUGUGACUAGAAAGGAUUAGCAUUUCAUCUGAGUUGGUGUUUUUUUUCCUUUUGUGCCUCCUCAUCUCCUCCGUCCUCCUGCCCUGACCUGGAAAUCUAUCUCAGUCUCAGUGAGAAGACUGAGGAGACAGGGGGGCUUGUCGGAGGAGCUAUAACCAGGUGUUUUUUUUCUUUUCUUUUGUUGCUGUGCUUUCACCUGUGACGCAUGAAACAGAAGUGCCACAAAACUGAAAUGUGCAAAUCAUGUCAAAGGGGGGGGGAGUUCCUCGUUUAUUUAAGACGUUGAGCGAUGUGAUCAAACUUUCUAACCUUCAGUUCUUUGUGUAAAUGUAAUAAAUAGUAGCACUAAAUUUAAGUUUUCGUGACAUUGCUAUGGUGUGGCUGCUGACAUUGUAAAUUACAGCAGAAGCACAAAAGGCAGCCGAAGCAGCCGGCUCACACAUUACAUUUACUUGCCGUUGCUUUAAAAUGCAAAGCGAGAAGUGGAGGACGUACAGAUAGGUAUACUCGAAAUAUUACACUUUUAUUUAUGGUGCAAUAAAUAAGCACAGCUUGUGCCCUGCAGUGUGUGAGCUGUUGAUUUCCCCCCCUAUUGUUUUCAACCCAGCACCUUCGCUUUGUUGUUGUGGUUUUGUCUGCAUUUUUCUAGUUUCUGUAGUAGAAAAAAAUACCUCUUCAGACUUUUAUUUAGUUCCUGCACCUUGGAAGUAAGUGAAGUUUUGCCAGAAACUAUUUGUCUGUUGUCUUAUACUUUGUUUUGAUGACUCCUUUUGUAGACAAAUGGUUACUGCUGCUUAUGUUAAAUACCCACUUCUAUUUACUUCCAGGAAAAGUGCUUCUAGUGCAGCAGGAAAGGACUGGUGAGGCCUGGGAUACCCAAUCUUGGCUUUUAAAACAACACUCUGCAGAAGUGUUUAUGAGCUGUAUACACCCUAAAGCUGUGUUCUCAGAUUGCUCGCAAGGCUAUUAGGCGGCCCACGUGUUUAGAAUUUAUCAGUUUAUUUCCAUACUGCAAAAAUUAGAUCACAUAUUUGGGACAAAGUUUUGUUUCCUAACAUAGCAAAAUGUGUACGAGACUGGAUUUAUUGCUGAUUAAUAAUGUAACCAUCAACACCAACACACCUAAAUGUUAAUAAAGGUUGACCUCUAUUAAGAGACAUGGGCAACUUUUCCCUUUUAUGGAUAGUUUAUUGUGACAAGUGUGUCACAACAGCAAAGCUCCUAGUUUAUGGGUAUUUAAGCCCAAUGAUAAAAUACUUUAAACAUGCAGAGUGGUGGAUAAGUUAUAAAGGAGAGGGAAGGGAAAGCAAGCUACUCAACUUCAAAAUACCCAGUGUGUCUUUUUUUGUGCUCUAUAAGAACAACUUUGGCACUGGACCUAAUUUAAAUCAAAUGUAAACAAAGGGAUUUUAAAUUAACCGGUAGU